This 301-nucleotide ribosomal RNA is filed under the name uncultured bacterium. RNAcentral's name for it is "partial 16S ribosomal RNA". It matches the Rfam family "Bacterial small subunit ribosomal RNA", at positions 509 to 809 of the family's 1533-position model. The record is from RNAcentral.
CAGCCGCCACGGUAAUACGGAGGGGGCUAGCGUUGUUCGGAAUUACUGGGCGUAAAGCGCACGUAGGCGGCUUUGUAAGUCAGAGGUGAAAGCCCGGAGCUCAACUCCGGAAUUGCCUUUAAGACUGCCGAGCUAGCAGGUGAGAGAGGUAAGUGGAAUUCCGAGUGUAGAGGUGAAAUUCGUAGAUAUUCGGAAGAACACCAGUGGCGAAGGCGGCUUACUGGCUCAUACUGGACGCUGAGGUGCGAGAGCGUGGGGAGCAAACAGGAUUAGAUACCCGAGUAGUCCCUGUCUCUUAUAU